RNAcentral lists this ribosomal RNA (473 nucleotides) under uncultured delta proteobacterium. RNAcentral's name for it is "bacterial SSU rRNA". It matches the Rfam family "Bacterial small subunit ribosomal RNA", at positions 400 to 863 of the family's 1533-position model. Lineage: Bacteria; Deltaproteobacteria. The record is from RNAcentral.
CGUGAGUGAUGAAGGCUUUCGGGUCGUAAAGCUCUGUCAAGUGGGAAGAACCUGCUUUCUGUUAAUAUCAGAUAGCACUGACGGUACCACUGAAGGAAGCACCGGCUAACUCCGUGCCAGCAGCCGCGGUAAUACGGGGGGUGCAAGCGUUAUUCGGAAUUAUUGGGCGUAAAGGGCGCGUAGGCGGUUUUGUAAGUCAGAUGUGAGAGCUCUCGGCUUAACCGGGAAAGUGCAUUUGAAACUACAAGACUUGAGUAUGGGAGAGGGAAGUGGAAUUCCUGGUGUAGAGGUGAAAUUCGUAGAUAUCAGGAGGAACAUCGGUGGCGAAGGCGACUUCCUGGACCAAUACUGACGCUGAGGCGCGAAGGCGUGGGGAGCAAACAGGAUUAGAUACCCUGGUAGUCCACGCAGUAAACGUUGAUCACUAGGUGUAGCGGGUAUUGACCCCUGCUGUGCCGCAGUUAACGCAUUAA